AGUCAUUACAGCAAGGCGGAGGAGGUGGCGCUGGUGGUCAAGAAAGAGGCAGCAUCGGAGGUAGCGGAGGUUUCGGUGGUGGUUUCGAAAUCGGAAUGAACGCUGGAGCUCAGGGCGGUGGUCAGGGCGGCGGUCAGGGUAGCGGUCAAGGCGGCAGCCAAGGCUAAAAACAACUAAUAAGUGCAGUAUUCCAUCGAGUUAUCCAUAUUUAUUUUUGUGUGUAGAGUAGAAUAAAUGUUGCAAAAA
Papilio polytes (common Mormon) is the source of this 246-nucleotide long non-coding RNA. RefSeq lists it as uncharacterized. The record is from RefSeq and is a predicted model, not a curated record. NCBI's taxonomy places the organism in Eukaryota, Metazoa, Arthropoda, Insecta, Lepidoptera, Papilionidae. The transcript is spliced from 3 exons.